Molecule: non-coding RNA, 126 nt
Filed under: Lotharella globosa
Lineage: Eukaryota; Cercozoa; Chlorarachniophyceae
Source: RNAcentral
AAACACGAGAAAAACCUAAAUGUGCAAAAACUUAAAAAGGAAAAAAAAGAAAAAGAAAAGAAGCUUAAAACCCAAACGAAAUAUGAUCAGUAUAUUUUAUUAUUAAUAAAAGAAAUUUAUUUUUCU